RNAcentral lists this ribosomal RNA (478 nucleotides) under uncultured bacterium. RNAcentral's name for it is "partial 16S ribosomal RNA". It matches the Rfam family "Bacterial small subunit ribosomal RNA", at positions 28 to 523 of the family's 1533-position model. The record is from RNAcentral.
GACGAACGCUGGCGGCGUGCUUAACACAUGCAAGUCGAGCGAUGAAGUUCCUUCGGGAAUGGAUUAGCGGCGGACGGGUGAGUAACACGUGGGUAACCUGCCUCAUAGAGGGGAAUAGCCUUUCGAAAGGAAGAUUAAUACCGCAUAAGAUUGUAGUACCGCAUGGUACAGCAAUUAAAGGAGUAAUCCGCUAUGAGAUGGACCCGCGUCGCAUUAGCUAGUUGGUGAGGUAACGGCUCACCAAGGCGACGAUGCGUAGCCGACCUGAGAGGGUGAUCGGCCACAUUGGGACUGGGACACGGCCCAGACUCCUACGGGAGGCAGCAGUGGGGAAUAUUGCACAAUGGGGGAAACCCUGAUGCAGCAACGCCGCGUGAGUGAUGACGGUCUUCGGAUUGUAAAGCUCUGUCUUCAGGGACGAUAAUGACGGUACCUGAGGAGGAAGCCACGGCUAACUACGUGCCAGCCGCCGCCGUAA